This 125-nucleotide microRNA precursor is filed under the name Hordeum vulgare. Its description in RNAcentral is "microRNA MIR1122". It matches the Rfam family "MIR1120/MIR1122 microRNA precursor family". The record is from RNAcentral. Lineage: Eukaryota; Viridiplantae; Streptophyta; Magnoliopsida; Poales; Poaceae.
CUAAUACUCCCUCCGUCUGGAAAUACUUGUCAUAAGAAUGGAUGUACCUAGAUGUAUUUUAGUUCUAGAUACAUCCAUUUGUAUCCAUUUGUGCGACAAGUAUUUGUGGACCGAGGGAGUAUUUC